GUACACUCCUGCGGGAGGCAGCAGUGGGGAAUAUUGGACAAUGGGCGCAAGCCUGAUCCAGCCAUGCCGCGUGAGUGAUGAAGGCCCUAGGGUUGUAAAGCUCUUUCACCGGUGAAGAUAAUGACGGUAACCGGAGAAGAAGCCCCGGCUAACUUCGUGCCAGCAGCCGCGGUCAUACGAAGGGGGCUAGCGUUGUUCGGAUUUACUGGGCGUAAAGCGCACGUAGGCGGACUAUUAAGUCAGGGGUGAAAUCCCGGGGCUCGACCCCGGAACUGCCUUUGAUACUGGUAGUCUUGAGUUCGAGAGAGGUGAGUGGAAUUCCGAGUGUAGAGGUGAAAUUCGUAGAUAUUCGGAGGAACACCAGUGGCGAAGGCGGCUCACUGGCUCGAUACUGACGCUGAGGUGCGAAAGCGUGGGGAGCAAACAGGAUUAGAAACCCUUGUAGUCCCAUAAU
RNAcentral lists this ribosomal RNA (454 nucleotides) under uncultured organism. RNAcentral's name for it is "partial 16S ribosomal RNA". It matches the Rfam family "Bacterial small subunit ribosomal RNA", at positions 331 to 806 of the family's 1533-position model. The record is from RNAcentral.